GUGCUCACUUCAGCAGCAUAUAUACUUAAAAGUGGAACGUUACCAAGAAGAUCAGUAUGGUUUCUGAACAAGGAUGACAUGCAAAUUUGUGGAGCAGUCCAUAUUUUU
Nycticebus coucang (slow loris) is the source of this 108-nucleotide small nuclear RNA. Lineage: Eukaryota; Metazoa; Chordata; Mammalia; Primates; Lorisidae. The record is from RefSeq and is a predicted model, not a curated record.